GGCGUGGGAAAGAGCCGCGAGGAGCUGACCGCGCCGUCGCCGGAGCCGCGCCUGCCGGGGCCCAGGGAGGGCGGGCGGGAGGAGGCAGGCAGGGAGGGCGCUGCGUCCCGCUCGGCGUCCGUGGCUCCGGCCCGGCUGCGCCCCGCGCGGUCUUCUCCGCGAUGAAGCGCCCUUGCGAGGAGACGACCUCUGAGAGCGACAUGGACGAGACCAUCGACGUGGGGAGCGAGAACAAUUACUCGGGGCAAAGUACUAGCUCUGUGAUUAGGUCGAAUUCGCCAACAACAACAUCUCAGAUUAUGGCAAGAAAGAAAAGGAGAGGGAUAAUAGAGAAAAGGCGUCGAGAUCGGAUAAAUAACAGUUUAUCUGAGUUGAGACGACUGGUGCCAACCGCUUUUGAAAAACAAGGAUCUGCAAAGUUAGAAAAAGCUGAAAUACUUCAAAUGACAGUAGAUCACUUAAAGAUGCUGCAGGCAACUGGGGGUAAAGGCUACUUUGACGCACACGCCCUUGCCAUGGACUUCAUGAGCAUCGGCUUCCGGGAGUGCCUAACGGAAGUGGCGAGGUACCUGAGCUCCGUGGAAGGCCUGGACUCCUCUGACCCACUGCGCAUGCGCCUGGUCUCGCACCUCAGCUCGUGCGCCUCGCAGCGGGAGGCGGCGGCCAUGACCUCCUCUCUGGCCCACCACCAUCACCCGCUGCACCCGCACCACUGGGCGGCGGCCUUCCACCACCUCCCGGCAGCCCUACUCCAGCCCAACGGACUCCACGCCUCGGAGUCCACGCCCUGUCGCCUGUCCACCACUUCGGAAGUGCCUCCUGCCCACGGCUCCGCCCUCCUCACCGCCACGUUCGCCCACGCGGAUUCCGCCCUGCGGAUGCCCGCGACGGGCAGCGUUGCCCCCUGCGUGCCGCCUCUCUCCACGUCUCUGCUGUCCCUCUCCGCCACCGUCCACGCGGCCGCGGCCGCAGCCACCGCAGCUGCGCACAGCUUCCCUCUGUCCUUCGCCGGGGCGUUCCCCAUGCUCCCCCCAAACGCAGCUGCCGCCGUGGCAGCUGCCACAGCCAUCAGCCCGCCCUUGUCGGUAUCAGCCACGUCCAGCCCUCAGCAGACGGGCAGUGGGACAAACAGUAAACCUUAUCGACCCUGGGGCACAGAAGUAGGAGCUUUUUAAGUUUUCACGGAACUCCUCGCAGUAGCAACUGAAUGUCCUUCAUUUCCGAGUCAGCUUAAAACCUCUGCAACCCUGGAAGUAGCCGUAGAGAUGUCUGCAGACCCACAGAGAACAGUCAAGCUGUUUGAGACACAAACCUCACAAGUGGAAAUUCUCUCAAACUCUGAGAAAUUCUCGGCGCUCUCAGGCUAGCUCCGCGACGGCACCCAGGGGGACCUGCUGGAGCCUCCAAAUCGAAUCCUGUUCUGACUGCCACGCUGCAGAAGGCGUCCUGGGAUUGGAUCCAAACUACGUGACGUGUAAAUAUCUAUACCUGGACAAUGUUAAAAGGACUGCCCAGAACCGUGUAUUUGCUUUAUUAUUUUCUCAGUCAUUUAGCUGCUCCUUCUAAAUCUAACCUCUUUCGGUAUAUGUCUUUCUGUCUUUCCUUCUCACGCAGUUGUUAAAAUCCCACGAAACUUUUUACGAAAUCGAGCGUUUGAUUGCCCCGAGCAGAGAGCGUUUCCCGGUAUAGAGCUCGGUGCGACCCUGCACACGACCUUUCGGUGUCAACGUGGACGAUGAAGGGCUUCGUGGCCUUUUAGGACGCGACUGUUUUAUUUACUGGGGAGUCAGAUUACCGAAGCUAGGACGGCUGCGGGUAUCUUGCUUAGUGAAGAAACCCGGGCCUGUGCACUAUUAUCUGGGCAGUUGCUUCACUUCUUAUGUCGAGAAAAGGCCAGGGAAUGAUGCAAUUACCAAAGGAAUCAAGAAACCUUUCAGCCCAGCCUCAGUUCAGAAUUCCUCAUGAAAUAGGAGCAGAAGGCAAUAGCAUGUAACUCAGCUUUGAAAAUGCCGACCGUUCAGUUGGACUGAUGUAACCCUAGAGACCCCGCUCCGCUGCAAGAUGGAAGGAGGCUUAAGUAAAACAGAUAUAAAUUUGUAAUGAACUUGCUCGCAACAUCCGGCGCCACUGUGAAUUACAGCCUUCGUCCAUCACCGUAGACUUUAGGAUAUUUUUCUUGUUUUCAGCAAUUCAGAAAUGGAGUUUAGAUUCUUGAUAAAAUUUGUCAAAAAUUAUCUAAUAAUACGCAAACAGGAAGAUUAAAGUGACUUAAUAAGUGAAGAUGGAAACAUCACCAGAAGAAAUUUCUAAACGUAAUUGCUAUAUUUUAGAUGGGACCCACACUCCUUUCCUGUAUCAAGAAAUUUUUCGGAAAUCGGGCGCUGUACGUGGAGCUCUUACUUCUGAAUUGGGGAUUUUCAGAGUUUACAUGAAAAGUAUCUGGUUUUGGAUAAAAAGAUAAAGCAGUUAUUACUUUUAGAAUAAUUUUAAGUUGUAAUAGGUUUGGUCCCAAUCUUGUACAAAGUGUUGGAAAAAGUACAGCAAGAAACAUCAUCCCUCUUUCAUCUUGUAAUCACUCUUCAUGUUUUCUGUCCAGAGCUGACCAUUGUUAACAGUUUCUUCUGUAUACUGGAAAUCGUCUGUGCUAUUUUAAAUUGUUUUUAUUUUCUAUUUCCUAGAAAUAUCUAUUUCUUUUUCCUCAAACUUUUUAUCUUGAAAUAUUCCAAACCUACAGAAAACUGCAAGUAUAGAGCAAUGAACACACAUAUACCCUUCAUCCAUCUUGGGCUAAUUUAGUAGUACCAGCAUCCACUGUGUUACUUGUGCGCUGAAAUGUGGCUAGUAAGAGUUGAGGUGUUCUAUAGUUGUUGAAUGAAUACUGGAUUUUUAAGCCUUUGUAUGGAAAAAAAUGUAAAGACUCAUUAAUAGUUGAGUACAUCUUAAAUGCAAAUUGAAUAUAUGAAUUAAAAUAUUAUUAAAACAAA
Odocoileus virginianus texanus is the source of this 2984-nucleotide non-coding RNA. Lineage: Eukaryota; Metazoa; Chordata; Mammalia; Artiodactyla; Cervidae. The record is from RefSeq and is a predicted model, not a curated record.